This 746-nucleotide ribosomal RNA is filed under the name uncultured Comamonadaceae bacterium. RNAcentral's name for it is "bacterial SSU rRNA". It matches the Rfam family "Bacterial small subunit ribosomal RNA", at positions 28 to 776 of the family's 1533-position model. Lineage: Bacteria; Pseudomonadati; Pseudomonadota; Betaproteobacteria; Burkholderiales; Comamonadaceae. The record is from RNAcentral.
AUUGAACGCUGGCGGCAUGCCUUACACAUGCAAGUCGAACGGUAACAGGUUAAGCUGACGAGUGGCGAACGGGUGAGUAAUGUAUCGGAACGUGCCCAGUCGUGGGGGAUAACUGCUCGAAAGAGCAGCUAAUACCGCAUACGACCUGAGGGUGAAAGCGGGGGAUCGCAAGACCUCGCGCGAUUGGAGCGGCCGAUAUCAGAUUAGGUAGUUGGUGAGGUAAAGGCUCACCAAGCCGACGAUCUGUAGCUGGUCUGAGAGGACGACCAGCCACACUGGGACUGAGACACGGCCCAGACUCCUACGGGAGGCAGCAGUGGGGAAUUUUGGACAAUGGGCGCAAGCCUGAUCCAGCCAUGCCGCGUGCGGGAAGAAGGCCUUCGGGUUGUAAACCGCUUUUGUCAGGGAAGAAAAGGUUCUGGCUAAUACCUGGGACUCAUGACGGUACCUGAAGAAUAAGCACCGGCUAACUACGUGCCAGCAGCCGCGGUAAUACGUAGGGUGCAAGCGUUAAUCGGAAUUACUGGGCGUAAAGCGUGCGCAGGCGGUUAUGCAAGACAGAGGUGAAAUCCCCGGGCUCAACCUGGGAACUGCCUUUGUGACUGCAUGGCUAGAGUACGGUAGAGGGGGAUGGAAUUCCGCGUGUAGCAGUGAAAUGCGUAGAUAUGCGGAGGAACACCGAUGGCGAAGGCAAUCCCCAGGACCUGUACUGACGCUCAUGCACGAAAGCGUGGGGAGCAAACAGG